This 402-nucleotide ribosomal RNA is filed under the name uncultured bacterium. RNAcentral describes it as "bacterial SSU rRNA". It matches the Rfam family "Bacterial small subunit ribosomal RNA", at positions 355 to 774 of the family's 1533-position model. The record is from RNAcentral.
UGAGGAAUAUUGCACAAUGGGCGAAAGCCUGAUGCAGCGACGCCGCGUGGGUGAAGAAGGUCUUCGGAUCGUAAAGCCCUUUUCUGCGUGACGAGGAAGGACGGUAGCGCAGGAAUAAGUCUCGGCUAACUACGUGCCAGCAGCCGCGGUAAAACGUAGGAGACAAACGUUAUCCGGAGUUACUGGGCGUAAAGGGCGUGCAGGCGGUUUCUAAGUUCGUCGUGAAAUCGCCCGGCUUAACCGGGCGGGUCGAUGGAUACUGGGGAACUAGAGGGCGGUAGAGGCGUGUGGAAUUCCGGGUGUAGUGGUGAAAUGCGUAGAUAUCCGGAGGAACACCGAGUGGCGAAGGCGACACGCUGGGCCGUACCUGACGCUAAGACGCGACAGCAUGGGGAGCGAACG